AGUGAACGCCGGCGGUAGGCCUAACACAUGCAAGUCGAACGGCAGCACAGUAAGAGCUUGCUCUUACGGGUGGCGAGUGGCGGACGGGUGAGGAAUACAUCGGAAUCUACUUUUUCGUGGGGGAUAACGUAGGGAAACUUACGCUAAUACCGCAUACGACCUACGGGUGAAAGCAGGGGAUCUUCGGACCUUGCGCGAUUGAAUGAGCCGAUGUCGGAUUAGCUAGUUGGCGGGGUAAAGGCCCACCAAGGCGACGAUCCGUAGCUGGUAUGAGAGGAUGAUCAGCCACACUGGAACUGAGACACGGUCCAGACUCCUACGGGACGCAGCAGUGGCGAAUAUCGGACAAUGGGCGAAAGCCUGUGCCAGCCAGACCGCGUGGGUGAAGAAGGCCUUCGGGUUGUAAAGCCCUUUUGUUGGGAAAGAAAAGCAGCAGGUUAAUACCCCGCUGUUCUGACGGUACCCAAAGAAUAAGCACCGGCUGACUUCGU
RNAcentral lists this ribosomal RNA (491 nucleotides) under uncultured bacterium. RNAcentral's name for it is "partial 16S ribosomal RNA". It matches the Rfam family "Bacterial small subunit ribosomal RNA", at positions 29 to 506 of the family's 1533-position model. The record is from RNAcentral.